GAUGUCUUGAGUGGUGUUUUCUUAUUUCCCUUCCUCGGAUAGUAGCAGAAAGCAUCAAGAUAGAGUUCUUGAUGCAAGUUCUGUCCUGUGCAACUUGUGCAGCCAUGAGUUAGCUACUGAACCUCCUAAGCCCCCAGUUUUCCUAUGAGUCUCUGGGGUUAUGCUUGUUAUGUGUUGAUGUAGGCAGUUACUCUGAUGAUAAUGUUCACACUUCACCAGAGCCUAAGUACUACCUAUUCCCUUUGUUGCUCCAGGGCCAUUGUCUAGCCUCACUUCUGGUCUUGGCAUCUCUGCACACCCACGUUUGUCGUUCUUGCUCAUUUCAUCUUACUGUUGUGUCAUCCCAUUUCUGUAAACCUCUACAGACAGUUGUGUCUGUUUAUGUCAUUGUUGCUAAGUAUGUUCUACUUUCUUUGCAUAGGCAUGAUCUUGCUCCUCCUCCUUCUCUCCCACACAAAGGUUAUGGAGGAUCAAAGAUCAAGGUAGAAGCAUAGCAUGAUUUGCAUUCAUGCCCUUGGGGUAGUUUUUGGGCACUUUGUCUUGGGGCAUCCUGUACAUACUACAAGAUCUGUGUGUUUGAGAUACGGUGUGCAUACUGUUCUAUCUUUCCUUGAGCCUUUACAUAGUUUUAUGUCUGUUCUUUUGGAGGACUUGGUGUGUCCUUCUAUAUCUUUAUAUAAGUUGUGGCUAAUCCCAUGUCUAUGAACCUGAAAACAUCGUGGGUAUGUCCAUCUCUGUCCCUAAGGCCUACCCUACUUUGGCACUUUCAUAUUUCUCCUUAGGAUAUACUGUCAGAACGACAAAUGAAGGAAAGUCACUGAUGAAUGGGUGAGCAGGCCGGGGAGACGCAGAUACCUGUGACCAUAGAUGAAGAUUUGUUUGUUUAUUCAGACUUGCUUUAUGCUUAUUUCCUUGUUGGUCAAUUGGUGCCCCCAGUAGCCAGAUCAAGUGCUGUGAUAAAACUACUCAUGGGUUUAACCUAGAAACUGACUCAGUUAUGUGUGGGAAUUCUCCAGGAUAACAGAACUCUUCUUUACAAUUACGUGAGAAUUUCACCUUUUAUUGACUAGUAAAAUGAUCUGCUGUCCAGUGAAUGUGUAUGCACAGGUGUUUCUCCAUUGGUACUUUGUAGAAGUUUUCCAUAUCAUCAUAUCUCAUUUCUAAACUUUGACACUAUGGUACUUUGAAUAGGAAUGACCGCUAUAGAUUCAUGUGUUUGAAUACUUGGCCAUAAGGAGUGGCACUAUGAGGAGGUGUGACCUUGUUGGAGUAGGUGUGGCCUGUGGAAGGAAGAGCAAAGAAACUGGGCAACAUAACCAGACUCAUGGCCAUACUGUAGAGCAGGAUUCUAAGCAGCAAUCCAUAAAGGCAGGCGGCAGGCAGAAGCAGGCAACACAGGGUCCCUGGCAUGGAUGCCUCCUUCUGCAUGACAAGAAUGGCUGAAUGAACCACAGUUCCUGGAGAUACUUUAUCUUAUUACAUGCAUGCUGCUGAGAGAAAGGAGCAGUCAACAAUGAACUUCAGCAUAUGUUGCUUCUAUAUCAAUGUCACUUUUUUACAUUUGAAUAUGUGUUUUAUUGAGGAGAAUUUCAAAUAUGAGACUACUAGAUUUAUAUCAUCUUUCCCCUCCCAGCUCUCCCCUUGAACUCCUCUAUUCCCCAGGUCUGUCCACUUCCUUCUUUACUUUAUGUAUAUGUGUGUGCUUGAUUGCAUGUUUUUACGUGCAGCAUGAACCUGCAGGAGCUGGCACAGAGCAGAAGAGGGCAUAAAUUCCCUGGAACUGGAGUUGCAGGUGACUGGGAGGCAGUGUGGGCUCUGGCAGCAAAGCUGAGGACCCUGCAAGUGCAGGAAGUACUCUUACUGCUGAUCCAUAUGUAUACAGGAAAGUAAUAAUAUAGGAAAGUGAUAAAGGAAAAUAAUAAUGAUUAUUACAAAAAUUAUGGAAAUUUGAACACAAAAGAAAUUAAUCUCCCAUAAUAGUAAAUAUUUAGCUAUUCUUAACUUUUAUCCUCAUGUCUUCCAAUGCUUUUUAAUAUCCAAACAUAAUUUUUAUUAUCAAAACAAUCUGCUAUGUAUAGUAUGACAGACUGUUUUUUUUAUUUAGCAAAAUAUCAUAACAUUUUCUAUGCUAAUAAAUAUUUUUCUGCUGUUGGGCUUUGGAGAGUAACUUGAUAGCUGUCAUAUUAAGGUGCUGGAAUUUAAUUACCCUGUUCUUUCAUAUUUUUAUCCCUAUAUUUUGCUGAUGGUUUUCAUAUGAUUAAUGGUGUUGGUAUUGAACAUUCCAGAAAUGUGAACAAAUUAAUUCCUUUGCAUUAGUAUCUAUGUGAAGGAUAACUUGGGAGUUGUUUUUCCUCAAGUUACUAUAGAGUUUUAUACCUUGAAAAGGGAAACCUUGGCAGUCUGUCACUUGGAGUGGUUUCUGUGGCAGCUUUCCUCUAAAUGAGCCAGCUCUUCUUCAUGCCUGCGGGAGCAGGCACCACUCAUUCACACACGAGAGCCCUCUGCUUCCCUAUGCUCUGGCUUUACGUGCUAAUGUAUCAGGCAUAAGGAACACAAUUCUGACACAAAUUGACUUUGAAAAGUUGCUUCCGAAACCUUUAGAAGUGCUGUUCUUCAACUAGUGUGGUUGAGAAUCUGGGAAGGAUGUUAGAGGUAGGAUGCAGGCAAGAUAGCACAGAAUGCUGACUUAGCUAAUAGAAACCCAGUCGCUAAUACAGACAGGCAGAGCAUGUGCUCUGAUUUGCAAAGUACAGUUAGCCUAAUUGAUUUCUGCAUACUUGUGGAUAGGGAUCUGCCCUCUUCCAUUUAUUUUCCUCUUGACAAGUAGGAUGUGAAAUGUUGUUCCAUGCCUUUCUAAUUUAAAUGUUGCACAUGUUGAGACCUGAUAUUGCCAGCCGUUUUAAGCUUGGCCCCAAACACAGCACAUUGUUGUUAUUAGCCUUCAUCAGUUGGUUACAGCCAACAUUCUAUUUGGAACUAUAAGAAGUAUAAAUCUCCGUUAUAGACAUAACCUAUUCCUGCCAUAAAACAGAUAUAGCGAGAAUGCCGGGCUAAGUCUCCUGGGUGAAUUGCUUUUGUUGCCCUCAUUACUCUGACUAGGUCAGGAGUGCUUACUUUGAGACUGUUCUUGGGAAAUAAUGUUUGAAUUUAAGUUAGCAUAUGUAUGUUAAAGGUGCUUUAAAGGGAGUAUCGAGACAAAUUAAGAUCAAGACAGCAAAGUUUAUGUUCUUGAGGAUUUUGUGAUUGAGCUGACAAAGGGGCACAUAUAAGCCUGGUGCUGUAGAGAGCAUAUCCAUGCGUCAAGAACAGAGGAGCUUAGAGGGGAGCAGGGCAUCACCUCACAGCCUAUACUGUGGACUAUGUGUGCUGUCCCUGGAGACACGGGCCUGCAUCCCAAGGACACCAAGGAACCAUUCUGUCUCCCUAACACUUACUACCUUUUGUCAAGGGCAUGUAGAUAUCCUGGUGGUCAACAAUUCUUUUAAAAUUACAUUUUGUUUUAUUAUUUAUUAUAGUUUUAUUAUAAUGCAUAUUUAUUUUCAAUGAGUAUAUGUUCCUAACAAAGGGUAUUUGUAUAUUUUUUCUUAUUGUUUGAGAAAUCUGUGUAUCUAUACAAUGUGAUUUUUUUAAAUAUAAUUUUAAAUUUUCUUGAAAAUACAAUUUUUUGUACAACAUACUCUGAGCAUAAUUUAUCCUCUCCCAGCUCCUUCAAGAUCUUCCCACCUUCCUAACUACUCAUCCAUACCACUUUUUCUCUCUACUAGAAAACAAAUAGGCAAAUCCAGAAUAGGAC
This 3793-nucleotide long non-coding RNA is filed under the name Mus musculus (house mouse). RNAcentral describes it as "long non-coding RNA chr6:17914995-17918788". Lineage: Eukaryota; Metazoa; Chordata; Mammalia; Rodentia; Muridae. The record is from RNAcentral.